UACGAAGGGUGCGAGCGUUAAUCGGAAUUACUGGGCGUAAAGAGCACGUGGGCGGUUUGAUAAGCGGAAUGUGAAAGCCCCGGGCUUAACCUGGGAACUGCAUUCCGAACUGUCAGGCUAGAGUAUGAUAGAGGUGAGCGGAAUUUCCUGUGUAGCGGUGAAAUGCGUAGAUAUAGGAAGGAACAUCAGUUGCGAAGGCGGCUCACUGGAUCAAUACUGACGCUGAGGUGCGAAAGCGUGGGUAGCGAACAGG
Molecule: ribosomal RNA, 253 nt
Filed under: uncultured bacterium
Lineage: Bacteria
Description: partial 16S ribosomal RNA
Rfam family: Bacterial small subunit ribosomal RNA
Source: RNAcentral